GCUGGGCGUGGUGGCGCACGCCUGUAGUCCCAGCUACUUGGGAGGCUGAGGCAGAAGUAUUGUUUGAACCCGGGAGGCGGAGGUUGCAGUGGGCCGAGACUGCACCACUGCACUCCAGCCUGGGCAACAGAGUGAGACUCUGUCUCAA
Molecule: unclassified non-coding RNA, 148 nt
Organism: Macaca mulatta (Rhesus monkey)
Lineage: Eukaryota; Metazoa; Chordata; Mammalia; Primates; Cercopithecidae
Rfam family: Metazoan signal recognition particle RNA
About the family: The signal recognition particle (SRP) is a universally conserved ribonucleoprotein. It is involved in the co-translational targeting of proteins to membranes. The eukaryotic SRP consists of a 300-nucleotide 7S RNA and six proteins: SRPs 72, 68, 54, 19, 14, and 9.
Source: Ensembl